RNAcentral lists this ribosomal RNA (465 nucleotides) under uncultured bacterium. RNAcentral's name for it is "partial 16S ribosomal RNA". It matches the Rfam family "Bacterial small subunit ribosomal RNA", at positions 28 to 507 of the family's 1533-position model. The record is from RNAcentral.
GACGAACGCUGGCGGCGUGCUUAACACAUGCCAGUCGAACGGAAAGGCCCCUUUGGGGGUACUCGAGUGGCGAACGGGUGAGUAACACGUGAGUAACCUGCCCUUGACUUCGGGAUAACUUCAGGAAACUGGGGCUAAUACCGGAUAGGAAUCCUUGCUGCAUGGUGGGGGUUGGAAAGCUUCGGCGGUUUUGGAUGGACUCGCGGCUUAUCGGCUUGUUGGUGGGGUAGUGGCUUACCAAGGCUUUGACGGGUAGCCGGCCUGAGAGGGCGACCGGCCACAUUGGGACUGAGGUGCGGCCCAGGCUCCUACGGGAGGCAGAAGUGGGGAAUAUUGCACAAUGGGCGGAAGCCUGAUGCAGCAGCGCCGCGUGCGGGAUGACGGUCUUCGGGUGGUAAACCGCUUUCAGCAGGGGCGAAGCUUGUGGUGACGGUACCUGCAGAAGAAGCACCGGCUAACUACGUG